Molecule: long non-coding RNA, 1180 nt
Filed under: Oryzias sinensis (Chinese medaka)
Lineage: Eukaryota; Metazoa; Chordata; Actinopteri; Beloniformes; Adrianichthyidae
Description: lncRNA (ENSOSIG00000012306.1)
Source: RNAcentral
CAGGACACACCCCUUUCCCUACCUGCAGGCGGCCUUGCCAGGUAAAUCUUUUGAUCAGUUUCAGCUGUGUCGCAGCCUUUACAGCAAGCACUGCCCAGCUGAUCAGUGGCAGAGAGUCUCCAGUCAGUUACUGGAAUGUUUGUGACUUUGGACCAAACGUUGCUGCUGUUUGGAUCACCUGCUUCCUUUUUUAGUUUUCAAUGCAGUGAGAUUGUGCAGACUUUUUCUUCUAUUUAGAUUUUAAGCAUGAACUGUUUGGAUUCUCCUUAAUUUUGAGCAAAGUUCAUUUGGAUUGCCCUGCUGUGCCUCUCCCUCCUCCUCUGGAUGUCUUCUGUGCACAUUUUUGGAUCCACAACAUUCCUCCUCGUGACAGAAAUUUUACAGGCAGGGAGGAAGAUGGAGGAGCAUGGCGGUGCUCGGGAGACUGCUCUGUUUCAAUUCAAAGAUGCUGCACAGCCCACCUUUCUCCAAGUCCCCCACCCCCCCAAAAAAAACUUUCCAACCUUUAGCGCGCAGGGGAGACGAUGCUAAAGAGUGUUCUUAUAAUCCAGACCAGAUUUACCUCUAAACCUCCAGGAUUAAAGUCCCAAAAAGGCUGCCGUAGCGCUCCAGCUGUAAAGCUCUGUCUUGGGAACCUCCGCCCGCAGCAGACGAGGAUUUACAUUUCUUUGAUGAUCUACCCACAUCCACCACCAUCCUGCCUUUUUAAGCUGCUGUGUGUGCAUGAGGGGCUCCUAGUAAUCAGUGCUGCAAAAAGAAAAGGGAUCCCUGAGAAUCUGAGCCUGACCGUUUAUGAGCAAGUGGUUGCAGAUAGGAGGAACUCUAUCAAAAUACAGUAUACUGUCUGAUUCAAAGGGAAGUAUUUAAAUAAAUAAGUAUUUUGUGCAGUUUACUGUCAAAUGACUUUACUGGGGCUGGUUUAGCUCAUGCUGGUUUGCGGCGCCUUACGUCCGUGAAACCUGGGUUCAAUUCCAGGCUGCUCCCUAUUCCCUUCUCUGCUGCUGUGCCGGUCCCAAGCCCGGUUGGAUUGAGAGGGUUGCGUUAGGAAGGGCAUCCGGUGUAAAACAUUUCCAAAUUAACCAUGCAACUCAUCCUUGAGGGAGGGUUGUUUCGCUGUGGCAACCCCUGAUGGGAAACGCCGAAAGAAAAAGAAGUGUCAAAUAACUUUACUCAUCCUAAU